This 85-nucleotide transfer RNA is filed under the name Candidatus Westeberhardia cardiocondylae. Its description in RNAcentral is "transfer RNA Tyrosine". It matches the Rfam family "tRNA". From Rfam's summary of the family: Transfer RNA (tRNA) molecules are approximately 80 nucleotides in length. Their secondary structure includes four short double-helical elements and three loops (D, anti-codon, and T loops). Further hydrogen bonds mediate the characteristic L-shaped molecular structure. tRNAs have two regions of fundamental functional importance: the anti-codon, which is responsible for specific mRNA codon recognition, and the 3' end, to which the tRNAs corresponding amino acid is attached (by aminoacyl-tRNA synthetases). tRNAs cope with the degeneracy of the genetic code in two manners: having more than one tRNA (with a specific anti-codon) for a particular amino acid; and 'wobble' base-pairing, i.e. permitting non-standard base-pairing at the 3rd anti-codon position. The record is from RNAcentral. Lineage: Bacteria; Pseudomonadati; Pseudomonadota; Gammaproteobacteria; Enterobacterales; Enterobacteriaceae.
GGUGGGGUUCCCGAGUGGCUAAAGGGAGCAGACUGUAAAUCUGAUGUUAUAAUAAACUUCGAAGGUUCGAAUCCUUCCCCCACCA